CGCAAGCCUGACGGAGCAACGCCGCGUGAGGGAGGAAGGCUCUUGGGUUGUAAACCUCUUUUCUCAGGGAAGAAGCUCUGACGGUACCUGAGGAAUCAGCCUCGGCUAACUCCGUGCCAGCAGCCGCGGUAAGACGGAGGAGGCAAGCGUUAUCCGGAAUUAUUGGGCGUAAAGCGUCCGCAGGCGGUUAUUUAAGUCUGCUGUUAAAGCCCACAGCUCAACUGUGGAUCGGCAGUGGAAACUGAAUAACUUGAGAGCGGUAGGGGUAGAGGGAAUUCCCGGUGUAGCGGUGAAGUGCGUAGAUAUCGGGAAGAACACCAGUGGCGAAGGCGCUCUACUGGGCCGUGACUGACACUGAGGGACGAAAGCUAGGGGAGCG
RNAcentral lists this ribosomal RNA (379 nucleotides) under uncultured cyanobacterium. RNAcentral's name for it is "bacterial SSU rRNA". It matches the Rfam family "Bacterial small subunit ribosomal RNA", at positions 376 to 770 of the family's 1533-position model. Lineage: Bacteria; Bacillati; Cyanobacteriota. The record is from RNAcentral.